UUCAUAGCAAAUUGACCAGCAGGUGUUCAGUGUCUGGCCUCGCGCCCAGAGAGGAGGAUGCAUCCACUGCGUGGAGUAACGGCUAGCGAGCAUCUGCGUGUUUAGGCUAAGGAUGGAUGCAGCGCUAGCUUGCGGAGUCACGUCGCGCUCUGCCAUGUUGAAAGGUCAAGGCCUAGCUUAUCUCCGCAGCUCAGGUUAAAUAAAUAUCUGCAGACCAAGGCUGUGAGGCUGGAGAAGACCACACUUACAGUAAAUAUAUUUUUUCCUACCUCUGC
This is a long non-coding RNA of Cyprinodon tularosa, 275 nucleotides long. RefSeq lists it as uncharacterized. The record is from RefSeq and is a predicted model, not a curated record. NCBI's taxonomy places the organism in Eukaryota, Metazoa, Chordata, Actinopteri, Cyprinodontiformes, Cyprinodontidae. The transcript has 3 exons.